GUGGGGAAUCUUAGACAAUGGGGGAAACCCUGAUCUAGCCAUGCCGCGUGAGCGAUGAAGGCCUUAGGGUUGUAAAGCUCUUUCAGCUGGGAAGAUAAUGACGGUACCAGCAGAAGAAGCCCCGGCUAACUCCGUGCCAGCAGCCGCGGUAAUACGGAGGGGGCUAGCGUUGUUCGGAAUUACUGGGCGUAAAGCGCACGUAGGCGGACCAGAAAGUUGGGGGUGAAAUCCCGGGGCUCAACCCCGGAACUGCCUUCAAAACUGCUGGUCUUGAGGUCGAGAGAGGUGAGUGGAAUUCCGAGUGUAGAGGUGAAAUUCGUAGAUAUUCGGAGGAACACCAGUGGCGAAGGCGGCUCACUGGCUCGAUACUGACGCUGAGGUGCGAAAGCGUGGGGAGCAAACAGGAUUAGAAACCCUAGUAGUCC
RNAcentral lists this ribosomal RNA (425 nucleotides) under uncultured bacterium. RNAcentral's name for it is "bacterial SSU rRNA". It matches the Rfam family "Bacterial small subunit ribosomal RNA", at positions 354 to 796 of the family's 1533-position model. The record is from RNAcentral.